Molecule: transfer RNA, 358 nt
Filed under: uncultured Microcystis sp.
Lineage: Bacteria; Bacillati; Cyanobacteriota; Cyanophyceae; Chroococcales; Microcystaceae
Description: partial 16S-23S ribosomal RNA intergenic spacer
Rfam family: tRNA (bases 135-208)
Source: RNAcentral
AAGGGAGACCUAAUUCCGGUAGGAGACGAAAAAAAAGUAGUCCCUACCAAGAAUCAAUCCCAAAAGGUCGAAGCGAGGCAAGAUUGGCUUUCAAACUAGGUUCUGGGUUCAAACAAGACCUGAAUCAGGAACAAGGGCUAUUAGCCCAGGUGGUUAGAGCGCACCCCUGAUAAGGGUGAGGUCCCUGGUUCGAGUCCAGGAUGGCCCACCUGCACAGGUGGCAAAAACAAAGAAGCGAGGAAUCAGCACCUUAUCUUACUCAUAUAGUAAGAGAGAAUGCUGGCUCUGAGUAAAGAGUCCAGAGGAACCUUGAAAACUGCAUAGAGCUAGGUGAAAAAGCCAAAAAAGAAGACCGCAA